This 866-nucleotide ribosomal RNA is filed under the name uncultured Zetaproteobacteria bacterium. RNAcentral describes it as "bacterial SSU rRNA". It matches the Rfam family "Bacterial small subunit ribosomal RNA", at positions 33 to 891 of the family's 1533-position model. Lineage: Bacteria; Pseudomonadati; Pseudomonadota; Candidatius Mariprofundia. The record is from RNAcentral.
ACGCUGGCGGCGUGCCUAACACAUGCAAGUCGAACGGUAACAGGUCCUUCGGGACGCUGACGAGUGGCGCACGGGUGAGUAACGCGUGGAUAUCUGCCUAUUAGUGGGGGACAACUACGGGAAACCGUAGCUAAUACCGCAUAAGCUCUACGGAGGAAAGCAGGGGACCCCUCGGGGCCUUGCGCUGAUAGAUGAGUCCGCGUCUGAUUAGCUAGUUGGUAAGGUAAUGGCUUACCAAGGCGAUGAUCAGUAACUGGUUUGAGAGGAUGAUCAGUCACACUGGAACUGAGACACGGUCCAGACUCCUACGGGAGGCAGCAGUGGGGAAUAUUGCACAAUGGGCGAAAGCCUGAUGCAGCGACGCCGCGUGCGGGAAGAAGGCCUUCGGGUUGUAAACCGCUUUCAAUUGGGAAGAAGAGAUGAGGGCUAAUAUCCCUCUGAUUUGACGGUACCUUUAGAAGAAGCACCGGCUAAUUUCGUGCCAGCAGCCGCGGUAAUACGAAAGGUGCAAGCGUUGUUCGGAUUUACUGGGCGUAAAGAGAUCGUAGGUGGCUUGUUAAGUCGGAUGUGAAAUCCCGGGGCUCAACCCCGGAACUGCAUUCGAUACUGGCAGGCUAGAGUUUGGGAGGGGUAAGCGGAAUUCCGUGUGUAGCAGUGAAAUGCGUAGAUAUACGGAGGAACACCUGAGGCGAAGGCGGCUUACUGGACCAAUACUGACACUGAGGAUCGAAAGCGUGGGUAGCAAACAGGAUUAGAUACCCUGGUAGUCCACGCCCUAAACGAUGUCAACUAGCCGUUGCGGGUAUCGACCCCUGCAGUGGCGAAGCUAACGCGAUAAGUUGACCGCCUGGGGAGUACGGUCGCAA